Long non-coding RNA from Sardina pilchardus (European sardine), 1084 nucleotides. RefSeq lists it as uncharacterized. The record is from RefSeq and is a predicted model, not a curated record. The transcript is spliced from 4 exons. NCBI's taxonomy places the organism in Eukaryota, Metazoa, Chordata, Actinopteri, Clupeiformes, Clupeidae.
AAGUGCAAGUUAAUAAACAAAUAGUGCUCCUAUCAGAGGUGGAGAAAAUGAAUAAUGAGGAUCAGGUGUUGUUGUUGAUCAGAUUUUUGCCCACCGACAUCAAGAAGUAGUCUGAGAUGCACCCAUGAUGGCUGAAUUAAGACGAGGUGGCCAGCAUUUUCAAUCUGUGUGCGGAAUUCAAGGGAUCACUGGAUGGAUGCUCCAUCUGCAAACCUGAUGAAGGCAUUUAGUACCUAUGACUGAGGAUUCUGGCAUUGAUGUCUGCCACGAAUGUGCUCUCCUCUCAAGGGACUGUGCCUAUAUGAAUGAAGACCCUUAGAGCGUCGUGAAGGAAUACAUGCCAGGGGUUCGUAGUCACACGGUAGAGACCAUAUAUGGCAUCAGAUGGCAUAUCCCCCCCCCCCCCCCGAGGACGUUUGGAUCAUAGGAGCUAUGUAACGUACCAUUUGCUUUUGGACUGUGUUUACUUAUAUGAGCAGCUACAGUUUCUACUUUCUAAACAAUGUUUAAUUGUAUCUGUUAUGUGAAAACACACGAUAUGCACUUCAGUGAGCAUUUAAAUGUGCACUUGAACCCUUAACAUGCAAUAUAGCUUUACAAUAUUGUGAUGGGUUUUUUGUAUGUUAGGCUCUUUCAAUAUAAAAGUUGAAUGUUGUGCACUUAAACCGUAAUGUGAAUAUAAGGCUUGAAAUACAGUUUGUAUAUCAAAAAACAUCUUUGUCUGUUAUUUGUUUUAUCUUUUAGGCCUGUCAUUGCAUAAUGUUUACCCCUUUUGGUGUUAACUUAAAUGUAAUACUUUGAACAGAGUUAAUUAAAUCAUGGAAAGUAUUUCCAUGUGAUUCAAUUGCUCUCUUUCAGCAUGAAGUAAUUCAUUUGAACCAACUUGAUUUACUUGGGUUUGUGCAACUUAAUUUGAAGUAGUUUUCAAUAAGUUAAAUCAACUUAAAUAGAUUGUGUUAACCCAACCUAAGUAAAUUAUGUGGGCUCCAAACCUUGCAAACAAGUUUAAUGGACCCUAACAAAUAAAGUUGAACUAACCAAAGUACCUUAAGUUGGACCAAAGAUAUUGCUUAAUGUUGAAAGU